Molecule: transfer RNA, 84 nt
Filed under: Spirochaetota bacterium
Lineage: Bacteria; Pseudomonadati; Spirochaetota
Description: Spirochaetes bacterium (anaerobic digester metagenome) tRNA-Leu
Rfam family: tRNA
About the family: Transfer RNA (tRNA) molecules are approximately 80 nucleotides in length. Their secondary structure includes four short double-helical elements and three loops (D, anti-codon, and T loops).
Source: RNAcentral
GCCGCGAUGGCGGAAUUGGUAGACGCGCUAGGUUCAGGGUCUAGUAGGCGUACGCCUGUGAGGGUUCGAGUCCCUCUCGCGGCA